AGUGAACGCUGGCGGUAGGCCUAACACAUGCAAGUCGAACGGCAGCACAGUAAGAGCUUGCUCUUACGGGUGGCGAGUGGCGGACGGGUGAGGAAUACAUCGGAAUCUACUUUUUCGUGGGGGAUAACGUAGGGAAACUUACGCUAAUACCGCAUACGACCUACGGGUGAAAGCAGGGGAUCUUCGGACCUUGCGCGAUUGAAUGAGCCGAUGUCGGAUUCGCUAGUUGGCGGGGUAAAGGCCCACCACGGCGACGAUCCGUAUCUGGUCUGAGAGGAUGAUCAGCCACACUGGAACUGAGACACGGUCCAGACUCCUACGGGAGGCAGCAGUGGGGAAUAUUGGACGAUGGGGGCAAGCCUGAUCCAGCCAUACCGCGUGAGUGAAGAAGGACUUCGGGUUGUAAAGCCCUUUUGUUGGGAAAGAAAAGCAGCAGGUUAAUACCCCGCUGUUCUGACGGUACCCAAAGAAUAAGCACCGGCUAACUUCGUG
Molecule: ribosomal RNA, 492 nt
Filed under: uncultured bacterium
Lineage: Bacteria
Description: partial 16S ribosomal RNA
Rfam family: Bacterial small subunit ribosomal RNA
Source: RNAcentral